AGAUCGGGAGUCGGUUAAAAACUUCUGAAAAGCUUCACAAGACUACCAACGAAAACAGCAAARAGAAAUACCAAAAACGUCGAAUUUAUCGCCUAAAAGAAAUAGAGAGCCUUUUWUGUUCCUUCGUUAAGUGGCUGUUUCCCAGGAAAGAGUAGCCUGUUUCUUUUCAGGAACAUGGGCACUGGCGCCUUUGAGAGCUUCAAUUCCCCUUACAGAUAAAGCCAGAUUGAUGCUUCUACCUUGUACAAAUUCUUGCUUGCGAGGAUCUUAAAACAAGAUUUCAGAGUGAAUCAAGUUCAUGUGCAGUGAAUGCAAGUACAGAGGUGUGAAGAGGGUUUCGUGAUGAGUCAAGGGUGGAUCCAGCUAAACAUUUAAGGGGGAGGGGGCUAAAUGGUUUUUAAGGGGUGGCUAAAUGGGGUC
Molecule: long non-coding RNA, 420 nt
Organism: Exaiptasia diaphana
Lineage: Eukaryota; Metazoa; Cnidaria; Anthozoa; Actiniaria; Aiptasiidae
Exons: 4
Source: RefSeq, a predicted model, not a curated record